Mustela lutreola (European mink) is the source of this 4111-nucleotide long non-coding RNA. RefSeq lists it as uncharacterized. The record is from RefSeq and is a predicted model, not a curated record. NCBI's taxonomy places the organism in Eukaryota, Metazoa, Chordata, Mammalia, Carnivora, Mustelidae. The transcript has 8 exons.
UUAGAAUUGUAUAAUGAGUUCUGGGUCUGAGAAGUGACCUGUGUCAGUUCCAGACCAAAGCAGUUUCAGAAAAGGACAUUAUUGAACACAUUGAUGGAAUUCUGGUAAGACCUGUAGUUUAGUUAGUAAUAUUGUACCAAAGUAAUUUUUAUUUUAAGUUUAAAACAAGGUAUGCCUAAUAAUGUUAGAGUUAGUAAUGGUAGUUAUUAGUAUUGGGAGUAUUGGCAGCAGCAAAAGAGUAACUCCUAAGUUCCAGACACUGCAAAGUACAACAUGGAAAUUAUAUUUUUAAAUUCUAACGUACAUCAACCCUAUGAGGAUUUCUGGUCCUAUGUUGAACAAAAGUGGUGAGAGUGGACAUCUUUGUCUUAUUCCAGACCUUAGGGGAAAGCUAUUCUUCACCAGUUCUUCACCAUUGAGAAUGAUGUUCACUGAGUUUUUCACAGACAGCCAUUAUUCUUGAGAUUACCUAUCUAGUGAAUACUGGCUGUGAUUGAGUUCUAACUUAGGGAAAUGAUUGCCAUAAGAAAGAACCGACGAAGGGUGCUAUUUUAGAAAAAAUCAAGAUUCAGGAUGAGUACAUGGAGGUGGAGCUCAACUCAUCGUGUUGGAAGUCUGGGACAACCACUUCAUGUGAUUAUCACAUAGUUGAAUGAGGCCACAGUCAUAGGAUCAACCUCCAUAUAAAGGUAGGAAACCCAAUAAACCAGAUUGAAUAAGCAGAAGGCAGUGGGGAAGAAGAUCCGUGCAUAUGAGUCCAUUUUGGCGAUACGAAUGUGUAUCCUCCCGUGUCUCCAAGCUCCUGUUCGGCAAUCUUCAAAACAGCAGAAGAAACUGGCACAGUCCUUGCCAUCCAGACACUCAUACCCAUAUUCUUCAUCUCUCUCUUGAAGCAUCUCUACUUGAAGUUUGGUGGCAAGAUGAAGUCAUCUUACCUUUUCCCAAAUCACGAAAAUCAAUCCAAGUUGGUAACUGUAUAAAUUAUGAACAUCAACCAUCAUCAUCACUAUUAAUGGGUGCCGUAUUCCACCAAAGCAGAGAAGACGAAGAUGAAGCAAACAGACACAAAGAGAUCCAUUGCUGUAACAUAGGAGACCUUGGGGAGUGACUUCCGGGCAAUAGUGCUGAGGGUGGUCAUUGUCAGGACAGUGGUGAUACCUGAAAAAAGAUUAUUAUAGAAAGAGAGAAGAUGGUGUUGUAGAAGGAUCCUGAGCUCACCACUCCCACAGCUAUACUGAGGUGUAACAACUACAUAUAUUGCAACUCACUCUGAAAAUGACCUGAAGAUUGGCAGAACAUAUCUUCUGUAACAAGUAACAUCAUAAAAAGAAAGCCACAUCAAGAAGGGUAGGAGGGAAGAGGCAUGGUUAGGAACCAAAGUACUGCUGUGACUACCCAGAAGUGGGAGGGAUAGGACAAGCAUGGAGGCACAACGGGCUGGGCACCCCCAUCCCUGGUUGCCUGCACUGAGAUGAGCUCCCAUAAUGUCUGGCUUUAAAAAUUAGCAGGACCUAACUCCAGGAGAGCCAGAAGGUCAUAGGAAACCAAGUCUCCACUUUUAAUUGAAGAGCCAGCAUGCUAUAUUACUCACUGUGUAUGUCUGCACAGAAGAACCAGUUUGGUGAAAAAAACUUGAACACAGAAAGAAUAAGGAAUCUGUCCAAGAUAGAAAGUGAAAAAGAUGAGAUACAAGCCUACAAAGUCUGACUUAAACACUACAUUCUGACCCACACUGUUAUAUUCCCUCUCUAUGAAUAUGUACUUAAUAUGCUGCAUGAAGCACCCACCAGCCACUUGGAAGCUAGUGUAUUUUCCUGAUUCAGGAUAAUAACGGAGUGUGGGUCUUCCAUAUUGUUAUUGUAGAAUCUUAGCAAUGGUCAAGUUUCUCAUCUACAAACUGGGAGUGGCAAGGGGAGGGGCAUACCUCAGCAUGUUCUUAUGAAGAUUAAAUUAUGUAAUUUUCAUUAAGUGUCAUUUCCUAGUAAAAUAUCAACAAAUGUAAGAUAUUUAGAGAAGAGUCUGUUUCUCGAACUAAAAAAACUUCACUCAAGUUGUUCAAUGCAAUAAUUUCUGGAGAAGUUAUUAACUAUUUGUAAUUAUACUUGAUAAUAUUUUGGGGGGAGAAUUUAAAAACUAAACUGGCCCCUUGGCCUUCACUCCACAUUCAGGCCUCAAGCCACCCUUGACCUAUGGAGGAGUGAAAAUGUCAUCAUUUACAGUAGAUACCAUAGACAAGUUUACUUAAGAAAAUCUAACAUGUAACUUAAACAUUUAUCUAGCAAGUUGGGAUGAUGGAAGUUCAUCACAGUCAUGUAAAAGAAGACUCAUGAAAAACCGCUUCAUGGUAUUUUCAGGUUUCUGGUUGGAGCCACAGGGAGUGAAAAGUGGGUGGCAGACGAGUGAUAGUUGUAACUGAUCCACCCACCAACAACAUGAUAGCUGGGGGUGGUUUUUAAGUCCAGUUUUGCUAAGGAAAGAAUUAGACUUACCUAGGUAAAUGAAAAAUAUGCAUAGCUUUUAUCAAUUCCUCCAGUCUUAGCAUCAAGUAAGCUUGCAGGCAUGCUAGCUUUUACUCUGAUUACUCAGGUGAAAAAUACCGACUGGUGUUUUUAUUGUUUCAUACAUCAACACUGAACCAUGAUUAAGGCUGACCAGCUACCACCUGUGUACCAAACUACAUUCAAGAGUUAGAAGCCCCGCGAUGACUUCUUCCCAUGCUCUUGUGGUCUGAGCUCAGAAAGCAGAGUCUGAGCCAUAUAGGUAUAUUUAUCUCACUCAUCCAAAACUUGGCUUUAUUCUGUGACAAGAAACUUUAGGUCCACAGGUGUGUAGGGUCAUCUGGAUUAACUCUAGAUUGUAAACACUGGAAAAGGUAAUGUGAUCACACAUUAGAAUCAUCUGGGGAUUUCUUUUUUUUCUUUUUUAAACCUGAUAUGCAAGCCAAGCUCUCAAAAUUUAAAUAAACAUCUUCUGGGAUUGGACUGAGGCAGCCAUAUAAAUGUGCAGUUGAAUUUAAGACACACUGAUCUAGAGAAGGGAGACAGCAUAGUUAACACAGAGAAGCAAUCUCAGCUGCCUACCUUUCCCCACAACUGGCCUUCAACAAGGGCUCACACACACAGCAAAUCUAGGCCUCAUUAACCAAGGUGUAGAUGGACUACCCGUUGGGAGUGUGACCUUGAGAAUGUCAUUUAACCUUGUACCACCUCUGCUUCCUUAGCCCUACAAAAAGAAUGUGGUAAUAUUUUUUAUUAUCACUACGACUUCUAUAUGUAGUUGUGAAGAAUAGAUAUAUUAAACAUGUGUGACGUAUAGUAAAAGAUCAACAAACAGGAGCACCUAUCUGUUACUUGUUCAGGGGCCUCUCCCUCAUUCCUCAUUCGCUAGCUCACUCACCUUGAUCCUCUCUCCUACAGAGGUCUCUUGCAGUGCCCUCGCUUAAUGACUGGUUGAAAUGAAUUACCAAAGUAGCCUUAAGAGGGGUUUUGACCAGCAGAAUUCUGGACUUCAAGAGAAAAGACUGAUUUGAAAAUCUUUUCCUUAAAAUAUUUUUGGUAUGGGUAGAUUGGAAUGUAUUAAUGCAUUUGUUGCACCCAUUCAUAAGAGCAUACAUUACUUGAAUAAUCAAUGAGGUACCAGCUAUGUGCCAGGCACUAUACUGGGAAUGAAAAAAAAAAUCUACAUUAUGAUGUGAGAGACAGACAUAUAAGCUUAUAAUGCAAUACAUUCUACUCACAGUGACAAUUGUCCUAAAGUAAUAGGCUCGACAUACUUUGGGUUUGUUUCAGCUGGUAGCAUUAAACUAGAUAUUCUAAUUGUUGAAUAGGACUUAUAACAAUGUACCGCAAAUAACAGAAAAAUCCAAACAAAAUUAUUUUGAAACAGAUGGGAGACUAAAUUAGGUUUGGAAGAGGACAAACAUGCAAAUGAUGCCUUAUUCCCAGCAAUCUCUUUUGCCCUCAGUUUUAAUAAUCUGGUUCAAAGCAUUUUGUCAGAAAAUGAUAUAUAGUUGACCCUUGAACUACAUGGGUUUGAAUUACAUGGGUCCACUUAUAUGCAAAUUUUUUCAAUAAAUAAAGCACAGUACAAUAAAUGUAUUUUCUCUUCCUUA